GACGGGGUAAUUAAAGCCAUUUCUUCAACAUCAUGUUCGCUCAUGAAUAACACGCACAGUCGCAAGCAUGAAAAUGAAAACUGCAAGCAGUAGACACCAGCAUACCCGAGAGAGGAACGCGCAGUCAAAGGAGCAAAGGUCCUCCGUCCUAACCACGACAAGAACAGUGCGUUUCCCCGAAGGUUCCAGCACACUGAACAUUUCCCGCGGAACAGAACGCAUGUUGAAACGCUCCAGGCCCCACGCCGCAACCCCCACGGGGGCGACGGCAAAAAGACCAGGAGCAACACUGACUUCAAUCGCUUCCCUUUCAGCAGUUUCAGGUACUAUUUUACUCUCUUUUCAAAAGUCUUUUCAUCUUUCCCUCACGGUACUUGUUCGCUAUCGGUCUCUCGCCAGUAUUUAGCUUUAGAUGGAAUUUACCACCCAAUUCAAGCUGCAAUCCCAAGCAACCCGACUCUGCAAGAGCGCAUCGUGCGACCGCGAACCGCCACGGCACAGGAUUCUCACCUUCUCCGAUACCCCGUUCCAGGGGAUUUGAGCGGCGGACGCGGCCGAUGGCGCCUUUCUAGA
This 573-nucleotide ribosomal RNA is filed under the name Thalassiosira minuscula. RNAcentral's name for it is "partial Eukaryotic large subunit ribosomal RNA". Lineage: Eukaryota; Bacillariophyta; Thalassiosirophyceae; Thalassiosirales; Thalassiosiraceae. The record is from RNAcentral.